UCUGAGAGAGCCUGUCUUUGAAGGUGUAGCGAUAGAUGGGGUUCCAUCUAACGAAUUGAGUGAUGAACCAGUACAAACUGAACCACAAUUCAGCUAAAGAUAAACCCAUCCAAGCCCAUCUUUUCAGUAGUUGUCCACCUGCAGCUGGGAAGUGAACCACCCUAUAAACACAGAUAAAAGUGAUGCCCACCAAAACAGAUGCUGCAUAGCAUUUGAAUAGUAUACGACCCCUAGCAGCUUUUGUUUCAAAGAGAGGAAGAUAGCCAUCUUUGCCCAUUGCUUCUGUCUUUCUCUCACCACCAUGUGAUCAGCUUAUAUAAAUAGUUUGGUUUGCAUUUUUCAUUUUAUUGUUGUUAUGGUCAAAACUUUACUUUGCCGCUUUAAAUAGCAUCAAAGAAAGGAGUAAAAACAAAUUAUCCCAUCUAAGCCCACCCAUCUCUAAAUUGCUUUCCUCUUGUAAAUGACCCGAGCACAAAUAGAACAAGUACCCACAAAGAUUGAAACUGGAUAAACAGUGAAACAAGAUUUGACCCUUUUCAGCCCUUGUUUCAAACAGAGGAAGAGAAGCAUCUCUCUAGCUCUCAUACUCUUACUCUCCCUCUGCUGUCUCAUGCAUUACCUUAUAUAACCUGCCUACUGUUUCCUUUAAAUUCAAGAAUGUAUCUAACAAAGAGAGAAGGGAUAUUCAAGGUUUAAGCAUCCUCUGCAUGCACAAACAGAGUUCAUGUGCUCAUUCUUUUUUCCUUAAAAAAUUGCAAUUUCUGGACUCUCUGGUGACACCCUGAUGAACAGGGGUUUAAGCAAGAGGCUUGUAACAAAUUAAAAAUGGUAUAUGAUUAAUAUCUAAGCCUUUAUACCUGGAAAAACAUAUACUAUCCAUUAUUGAAAGUUGAAACUGCAUCAGUUAUACAUAUAUAACAGUUCUUGAGAGCAUUAUAUAAUACAUAUAAAGUUGUGGCAAAGAGACUUUGCUUACUGAUACAGUAAACUAAUACAAGGCUAUUGAACAGGCCAACAGCGCUAAAGAAACUGAUUUGUAUGUGACUGAUGUUGGCAUGGUGCCCUUGUCCUUGCGGAAAAAGAGCCCUUGGUAUACAGGCAGGUUGAUGAGAACAAGAACCCCACAUAAGAUAAUCUGCAGAGCUAGUGACUCCAAAGGUUUAAUUUGAAUAUCCACAACCACCCUCUUUAUACCACAAACAAAACUGAACAGAUUGAGCAAUGCAAGUGUAGCUAAAAUGGUAAACAUUGGUGAAGGAGAACCAAACUCCAUGAUUUCUUGCUCGUAUCUUUGAGACACAUCUUCAUCACACACCUUUGCAGUGACAGCAAAAGUGGUCUCAGCAAAGCCUAGUAUCCUCAAGAUUGUAUCAAGGAAGGCAAAGAAGUAGGAAGUUGUCCUUCUGAACAUCCAUAUUCUUUGAUCAUUCCACCAACCUUGGAUUGUGCCGCCAUACCAAUGAAACUCACCUAAGCUGUAUGCAUGCUUGGCGAUAAUGACAUAGGCAAAGGGAAGGACCCACAGGCUCCAUAUCUGAACAAGUAACAUAAUUCAUUGCUGGGAACCAAAUAGCAUUUCAAUUGUUUGGAUACAGCAAAGUGUCAUGCCAGGACUUCUCUUUUCUAAAAUGGACGAAGAAAUGCACAUAGUUCUUUUCGAAGUAUUUAGGAAAAUCUAUCAUGUUCAGACACUAAAUUUAUUGAGAAAUUUUGCUGGCUAGCGAUCAUACAUCAUGGAACAAUGUUGCCUGUGCUUGACAGUAAGUAUUUUGCAGUUUUGUACUACUCAGAAGUUUUUAAGUUUGGAAGUAUCUGUUUCAAUGAUGUAAUUUUCAUACCUCUGGAAACAAGGAGAUGCCUCCAAGGAGACAAAGGGAUGGGACAGCAGCAUAGCAUAGCGUAGCCAAGGAGUACGCAGCCCACAGAUUAUAGAUAGAGUAUGCGAGUUGAAGUUUCAGAGGAACCUUUUUGUGUCCAUAUAUNNNNNNNNNNNNNNNNNNNNNNNNNNNNNNNNNNNNNNNNNNNNNNNNNNNNNNNNNNNNNNNNNNNNNNNNNNNNNNNNNNNNNNNNNNNNNNNNNNNNGAAGCCCUUCCUUUCUGGAUUGAAAUAGACGGAUUUCCAACCUCUACAUUGUAUUGAGAAUCCUGUGAUAAUGUCUUCCACUGCACAAUCAUACUUAAGGCCCAUCUGCAAUUCAACAUAAAGAUUAAGUUUUUUAGCUUAAGAAAUAGGAAAAAGCUUUACAGGCAGGAAAUUCAUGAGACAGAGAGACAGAAGAACCUCCUUUCCCCAUUGACUGUUCUCUUCGUAGGUACAACUUGCAAGGACCUUACAUGAUUCUUCUAAUACACUAGCACUUUCUCUUCCUCUUCUGUCAUUCUCUCUCUUCCAUUCUCUCUCACAUUCCUUGCCAUAUUUCAUUCCACACAGUGCCACUCUCCUAUGAAAGCACCCGGUACCAAUAUAGAAAGGUCCUCCAUUAGAAUCAAGGCCUGGAAGUUCCACCUUUUUCACCAGUCAUGCCAAAAGCCAACAAUAAAAUCAUUAGGAAGUCAUUGCUAAUGCCUACCUCCUCUAGGCCAAGCAGUAAGGAAUAAAUAAUUCUUUCCAAUCUUGCCUACCUGAAUAAUCACCCUAAAGCAGGUGCCAUAUAAGUCAUUCCUAGUAAGAUUAUCGUAGCACUGUGGAAACUGGACAUAAGCAAUUUCAUGGCCCUUCUCUUCAUCCAUGAAAAAACACAGAGCAUCUCUCACUGAUUCUGAAUUGUUGGAGUACAUGUCACAGUCCACAUUAAGAAUAAUCGAGCCAUUGCUUAUCUUUGAUGACACCCUUAUCUGUUCAACAAAAUCAGAGUCACCUACAUUAAGAUAAUUGGCAGUGGUUCACUGUAGGAAAGCUGAAGUCAUUUAAGCUUACGAGUGCAUUCAUGGCUCCAGCUUUAAAAUUGUGAUGGUAUUGGGGUCUCUUCUCACGGGACAAGUAUACUAGAGUUGGCAAAGGUUGUCCUUCAGAGUCCACAGCCUUGGGGUCUCUCCCAUCAAUCACUAUCUGUUACUUUAUAUAAUAUUAGUAAAAGAUGAAUCAAAGAUAAAUAUGGAGAAAAACUUAGUAGAGAUGUAUUUGUUUUCAAGAAGAAAUCUCUUGGAAUAGGAAAAAAUACACAAAUUAGUAGAAUAACUACUUGAACAAUGGACUGAUGGUCAUGCCGUGUUGAAGCACUGUUCCACUCCAGAAAUCCCUUGUGCUCCUUUCUUAUUUCUUCUGAAAUCCUGCCCAGUCUAGUGGUGGUUUCGAUUCUAUUCUUCAUGUCUUCAUAUAAUUCCUAUAAUGAGAAAAGGAAUAGAACUUCUAAAUCAUAUGUAGAAAAACUCUAAAAAGAUUUGCCUAGUAUGGGAGUCACACAUACUCAUUAUAACAUGGAAAGAGAAAAAUUCAAGUACCAUACCACAUACCAUUACACACUCUGAUGAACAUUUUCUUUGUUCUCCUAAGAGUUUAAGUUCCUAGGAUUUGGACUUUUUUUAUUUUAUUUUAUUUUUUAAUUUUUUUAUUUGUGGGCAUACAUGUGGGGCUCAACAAAUCGGGAAAAUAAAUAUGUAUUGAGGUUUGAAUACAUGAUCUCCCACCCAGCCUGCUUUAUCAAUUUUACUAAAAACUUAACCUUGCAGGAUUUGCACCCAUAAUAUAUAUUAUACUCUUCCACACUCAUCAUUAUUUAUGAUCUCUAAAUUGUUUGCAGGAUUUGGAUCUAUGAUAUAUGUUAUAUUCUUCCACUCUUCAUCAAUUAUGAUCUCUAAAUUGCUUGUACGAUUUGGACCCAUAAUAUGUCUUGUACUCUAUCAUAUUCCUCAAUUCUGAUCCCUCAUAGAAUUUAUUUGAGUGAUUAGAAUGCAAGUCAAAUCUUAAGAGAAAGGAAGGAAUUUCAUCUACGUUGUACCAAUAAGACUCUUGCCUUCUGGAAAGUCCUUAAACCAUAUUUUACACUGCUUUUAAAAAGCACUUAAUUUUACUUAUAUAAAUAUUUUUUAGAAAAAAAUAUGGUCGCUUCAUAAAAAUUUAAAAAAAUUUCUAAAAAAUUAAAAAAUCUUAGCAUUCUAUAUAUGGUCCUCCCCAAAAAAAAAAAAAAAACUUCUGAAGAACACUACCGAGCACACACUCAUUCAUUCAUUAUCUUCCCUGCAAAACUUUCCGGAAAAGAUGCAACAAUUUUGAAGUGGAUCAGACUGAUGAUGCACAGAGGUCGACAUUAAUGUUGGGGAUCUUUCGUAUCCUAAAUAGUUACUCAUUAAAAGGACAGCCAUCCUUCUUACUGUCUGAGGCUCUCUUCCAGCUUCGAUUAUUUCCUUUAACAAUUGGGUCUUUGGAAUGAAGUCAGAGCAGCCUUGGAAGUAGUUGCAACUUGCAACUAUAUGUUGACAAUUGAUCUUAAACCAGAAUUCAUAGAAUCCAAAGAGAAAAAAACAGAGAAAGUUGUACCUUGAUGGACAACCAUUCCUGAGCCAUGAGAGGAUUGCUAGCAGGGGAUUCAGGAGUUGUGGAAAAAUAAGCAGCAGGUGAUCUUGGUUCUAUACUGAACUUCCGACAAAAUGGUAGCCAAUGUUUUGAGAAGUGAGAGGCCUCCAACAAAGCAUAGAAGGUCAGGUCUGAGCCUCCAUCAUCAGAGAGAUAGACGCUUAGGUUCUGUGAUGGGUAAUUGUAAGCCAUGACUGAUAAAACAGUGUUGAUGACCAUGAUGGGUGGCUCUAUUCUUGGAUCUGCAGUGCACACAAAUAUGUCUAUGCCCGGCAAAACCUCCUCAUAUCUGCAAUGAAAUUUCAGAAUAAGUCAUUAGCAGGUGAAGAUAGGAGCAAGAAGAGGGAGAGAGAUUGAAAAAACCUCUGAAAGAGCCUGUCUUUGAAGGUGUAACGAUAGAUGGGGCUCCAUCUAACAAGCUGAGUGAGAAACCAGUAGAAACUGAACAACAACUCAGAUAGAAACAAUCCCAUCCAAGCCCAUCUUCUUAGCACUUGUGCGCCUGCAGGUGGGAAGUGAACCACCCUGUAAAUCCAGAUAAAAAUAAUACCCACAAACAUUGAUGCUGCAUAGCAUCUGAAGAGGAUACGACCCUUUGCAACCUUGGUUUCAAAGAGAGGAAGAUAGCCA
RNAcentral lists this long non-coding RNA (5142 nucleotides) under Vitis vinifera (wine grape). RNAcentral's name for it is "long non-coding RNA (VVIN_LNC007694)". The record is from RNAcentral. Lineage: Eukaryota; Viridiplantae; Streptophyta; Magnoliopsida; Vitales; Vitaceae.